UUUGAGAACAUGAAGGAGAAGAUAAACGCAGUGCGUGCAAUAGUUCCUAAUAAGAGCAACAAUGAAAUCAUCCUGGUUCUGCAGCACUUCGAUAAUUGUGUGGACAAAACAGUACAAGCAUUCAUGGAAGGUAGUGCCAGUGAAGUACUCAAAGAAUGGAUAGUAACAGGCAAGAAAAAGAACAAAAAGAAGAAAAGCAAACCAAAACCUGCAUCAGAAGCAAAUAGCAGUGCCCAGA
This is a long non-coding RNA of Peromyscus leucopus (white-footed mouse), 238 nucleotides long. RefSeq lists it as uncharacterized. Lineage: Eukaryota; Metazoa; Chordata; Mammalia; Rodentia; Cricetidae. The transcript has 4 exons. The record is from RefSeq and is a predicted model, not a curated record.